This 465-nucleotide ribosomal RNA is filed under the name uncultured bacterium. RNAcentral describes it as "partial 16S ribosomal RNA". It matches the Rfam family "Bacterial small subunit ribosomal RNA", at positions 28 to 507 of the family's 1533-position model. The record is from RNAcentral.
GACGAACGCUGGCGGCGUGCUUAACACAUGCAAGUCGUACGGUAAGGCCCUUUCGGGGGUACACGAGUGGCGAACGGGUGAGUAACACGUGAGUAACCUGCCCACAACUUUGGGAUAACGCUAGGAAACUGGUGCUAAUACUGGAUAUGUGCUCCUGCUGCAUGGUGGGGGUUGGAGAGCUCCGGCGGUUGUGGAUGGACUCGCGGCCUAUCAGCUUGUUGGUGGGGUAGUGGCCUACCAAGGCGGCGACGGGUAGCCGGCCUGGGGGGGUGACCGGCCCCAUUGGGACUGAGAUAAGGCCCAGGCUCCUACGGGAGGCAGCAGUGGGGAAUAUUGCACAAUGGGCGCAAGCCUGAUGCAGCAACGCCGCGUGCGGGAUGACGGCCUUCGGGUUGUAAACCGCUUUCAGCAGGGACGAAGCUUUUUGUGACGGUACCUGCAGAAGAAGCACCGGCUAACUACGUG